Molecule: unclassified non-coding RNA, 557 nt
Filed under: Rattus norvegicus (Norway rat)
Lineage: Eukaryota; Metazoa; Chordata; Mammalia; Rodentia; Muridae
Description: partial antisense urocortin mRNA
Source: RNAcentral
UCACUUGCCCACCGAAUCGAAUAUGAUGCGGUUCUGCUCUGCGCGCUCGCGCUGGCUCUGUGUCCGAGCUAGCUCUAGCAGGGUCCGCAGCAGGUGGAAGGUGAGGUCGAUGGACAACGGCGGGUCGUCUCGUCGUUGCCGCUCGCCUGCAGGCUCAGAUCCCGCGCGGCGCGGGAAGCGCUCCGCUAACAGCAAGAGGAGUGCGCGGACACCUCCGCCCUGAUUCCGCACUCCGGGGUUCCAUCGCAGAUUCGGAUCCUGGACCACAUUCGCCGCCGCAGCCGCUGGGCUCCACUGGCUGCUCUCCGGGCGCAGCUGAACCAGAAGCAGCAACGCUACCAGGAGCGUAGCGCGUCCCCUCUGCCUCAUGGUGCCGCCUGCCAUCGCAGAUUCGGAUCCUGGAUCCAGGAUCCGAAUCUGCGAUAGGUUAUCGGAGUGUCUAUCCAGUGCAAGAUGGAGGCAAGAUGGAGCUCCAGUCUCUGUCCCCGGGGACGGGUUGAAGACGCCUUGGGGAGCACGGGGUCGGUCCCGGGACCGCCGCCAGCCUUAUAUAGCAC